AACGAACGCUGGCGGCAGGCCUAACACAUGCAAGUCGAACGCCCGUAGCAAUACGGGAGUGGCAGACGGGUGAGUAACGCGUGGGAACGUGCCCUUCGGUUCGGAAUAACUCAGGGAAACUUGAGCUAAUACCGGAUACGUCCGUAAGGAGAAAGAUUUAUCGCCGAAGGAUCGGCCCGCGUCGGAUUAGCUAGUUGGUGAGGUAACGGCCCACCAAGGCGACGAUCCGUAGCUGGUCUGAGAGGANGAUCAGCCACACUGGGACUGAGACACGGCCCAGACUCCUACGGGAGGCAGCAGUGGGGAAUAUUGGACAAUGGGCGAAAGCCUGAUCCAGCCAUGCCGCGUGAGUGAAGAAGGCCUUAGGGUUGUAAAGCUCUUUCAGCGGGGAAGAUAAUGACGGUACCCGCAGAAGAAGCCCCGGCU
Molecule: ribosomal RNA, 426 nt
Filed under: uncultured bacterium
Lineage: Bacteria
Description: bacterial SSU rRNA
Rfam family: Bacterial small subunit ribosomal RNA
Source: RNAcentral